RNAcentral lists this long non-coding RNA (7789 nucleotides) under Chlamydomonas reinhardtii. Its description in RNAcentral is "long non-coding RNA (CREI_LNC000994)". Lineage: Eukaryota; Viridiplantae; Chlorophyta; Chlorophyceae; Chlamydomonadales; Chlamydomonadaceae. The record is from RNAcentral.
UUUGAGGCAAAGGAGCGCAAGGGUUUCUACUCAACGCUCGCGCAGUGUAAUGCAUCUUCAAGGGCUAUUUGAAACCGCCGUCGCUCACCAUCUCACUGGGUCCGGUGCACAGGCUCGGUGGUCUCGCGGCUGCUGGAGCUAGGCCACACCGUGCACGGCACCUGCCGCGACCCCUCGCGCACCAACACGGUCGCCCACCUCUUAUCCCUGCCCGGUGCGGCGGAGCGCCUGAAGCUGUUCAAAGCCGACCUGCUGUCGGAGGGCAGGUGCGGGAGGGGAGGGAGGGUGUAAUCAGCGUUCAAGAGUUCACAGCGGAUCCAUCAACCGGCGGGCGGGGGGCAGGCAACUUGGCCGCGCAGCACAUUGCGUGUUAGGGUUUGCGUUGGCUCCGACAUGCCGCUGCUGCUACUGCUGCUGCCGCCUGGAACACUAUAGUAUGGACGUGGACAAACCGCCUGCCGUGAUGUCCUGCGUGUUGCAGCUAUGACGAGGCUGUGUCGGGCUGUGACUACGUCAUCCACACCGCCUCGCCCUACACCAUGAAUGUACCCGCGGCGGAGGUCCAGGCCAAGCUGUUGGACCCAGCGGUGAAGGGAACAGAACACGUCCUGUGUGAGUGCCGGUACCGUGGCGGGCUCUCAAUCUCCCUGUCAGGGCGCCUGCUGUUGUGCGAAUGCCGCCUGCGGCUCAAGUCGUAGACAGCUCCCAAGUCAUGACGCUGCGGCGCAAGUACGUGCCACCCUCCGCUGCUGCAACACCGUAGGCGCCGCCAGCAAAUCUCCCUCCGUCAAGCGGGUGGUGCUGACGUCAUCGUGCGCCGCCAUCUACGGCGACCCGCACGAGUUCGGCAAGGACCACGUGUACACCGAGGCUGACUGGUGCGUGUGUGUGUGUGUGCGCGUGUAUGUGUGUGUGUGCGUGUGUGUCUCUGUACGGGCGUCGGUGGGCUGGUGCAUAGCGCUGCGGGCUGGCUUCCCUGGCGUGUUGCUUGCAUGCACGGACACCGCCGCAUGACCAUGCCAAACGCAUCUGCUUGUGAACAUGCCCUGGCCCGGGCAUACACAGGAACCCUACCGCGACCAAACAGGUCCUCCCAUACUACUACAGGUAUGCUGUGUCGGCUGCGCAGUUUGUGUGGUUGCGCGCAUGUCUGAGUUCUAGAACAAGCCGAAAUUUUAUGUAUGCCGUACUGUGACCCACCCACCUGCCUGCCUGCCCGCUUGUCGUGCCUGCUGCCUGCCCACCUGCCUCUCCCCCACAGCAAGAAGCUGGCUGAGGAGCGGGCGUGGGAGAUGGCCAAGGCGCAGAGCCAGUAAGUGUGUGGCGGCGGCGGGCCACGUACAGCGCCCCAGCCUGUCCUGCGUACCAGCGGACCUUGAAGCAGCAACCCCCGGCCGCUCUUCGGCAGCUCGUCAUGUGCCGCCUCUCACCUCACCCCACCUGUCGCCUCCGUACGUGUGCAGGUGGAAGCUGGUGGUGAUCAACCCCGCCGUCAUCCUGGGGCCGCCGCUCAGCAAGCGCACAGACAGCGAGUCGGUGGGUGACAGAGUAGGGGUGGUAAGGCCACUUGGGUCGGAGGCGCCAGGGAGCCUUGUAUGAGAAUAAUAGUCAAGCCACAAUGCCAGCACAGCCACUUGCUUCUCCGAUUCGCAUCGGUCGACCCGGCCUUGAAACCAAACGCCGCAGAUCAACCUAAUAAACACCUUCCUGAAAGGCAAGGCCUACCCCGCCUGCCCGCACAUGGGCUUUGGCACCGUGGACGUGCGCGACGUGGCCGCGGCACACACCCUGGCCAUGAGCCACCCCAAGGCCGAGGGCAGGUACGGGCUGAGGGCGGGGUUGGGGUGGGGGUUGCAAAUACGUGGGCGGUGGGGGUGGGGGUGGGGGCUGCUCCUACCCGUUCCAGGUAGAAACAUGCCACGCUGAAGCACAGCCCAUGGGGGCUGCUACCUUGCAUCAUGUGGCCGCUCACCAACAUCGCCAUUGUGCCUUUGCCCGUCUUUGCCCACCUGCUUAUACGAAACAAGCCGCAUACCGCCGCGGUGGGGCUCUGGCGGGUUGAGGCUUGGCUAGGACUCACUGUGCGCGGGGUCACACGGACUUUGCCCGCGGGAGGGUUUGCAGCAAAGUCGGGGUUGGUGGAGUCAAGUUGGGCCCUGAUAGCAUGUGAUGGCUCGGCGUCUUCGGGUGCUGGGACUGUCCCCUCUGUAACAUCCGCAUUCAUACCGUAAUAGCUCCCUCCACCCGCCACCCGCCACCCCGACUGGGAAGGACUGCCCCGCCCCCUGCCACGUGCUCCACAGGUACAUCACGGUAUCCAAAUCCAUGUGGUUUGCGGAAAUGGCACGUGCCAUCAAGGCCGGCUUCCCCGACUCGAAAUUCCGGCCCCCCGUCACCACUGCACCCAAGUGGUUGCUGGCGGUGAUUGGGCCGGCGGUGGGCCUGUCGCGUGACCUGAUCAAGUGAGGAUAAUGACCAGGCGCUGACAUCAGCAGGGGGCAUGUUGUUUGGGCCACCAUAAUAGCCCAGCUGCCGUGCUCCUCGGCGGCUUCUUGUGGGUUUGGGCUUCGGGGCCCUAACUGUGCGCCCACAUGAGUGUCCUACGGCAGUGCUGUACCUUACUUCACGCUUCAUGACAUGGGCCCUCACAGUUACGCGGUCGGGAAAUGUCCCCAGUUCAACAACAGCAAGAUCCAGUCGGAGCUUGGAUUUAAAUUCCACUCGCCCGAGGCGGCCAUCAAGGACCAGGUGGAUGCGAUGCUGGCGCUGGGCAUCGCAAAGCCGUUCUGAGGUGGUGGAGACACGAGCAGCACAGCUGCGGGUGCGGGUGACAGGGACGCCGGUAGGAGGACUUGAUGGCUAGCCAGAGGUUGCUGAAGAGUUUCCGUAGGGUCUGUGAAGGGGAGGGAGCAGGAGCGGUAUUCCGGUAUGCUUGCUUUCUGGCAGAGGGGGCUUCGGAGGAGAAAUGCUGGGGAUGAUGGCACAUAUACAGUAGAAACUCAUACAUACUCGCUCAGUGGUAUACCGUGUAUAUGUAGGGCAACACGCAUUGGAGAGGGAGGUCGCUGGAGCGAUGGCUUCAGCAGGUCCCUGUUGCAACCAAAGCAACCCGAUCGGCGCCCGGUGUUGGAUGCAUCAGAGGCUGCAGGCUGCUGCGCAUUCAAUACACACGGCUGUGUUUCACAUGAUAAAGGGUAAGGAGGGCUUGCAGACAGGAAAUUUUGGUCAACGAAUAAUUCGGUGAAAAGCUGACCGGUUUACCAGUUAACUGGAUUGAGAACCCCGAACGGGCGCUUUGUGCCAUCAUAUUUAUAUAUGGUAUACCAAUAUCUUAGUCACACGCAUUAAAAAACCUACUAAAAAUGCUCGCUACCAAAGGAAUGUCCCAGCUUGCGUUCCAGCCGGCCUACACUGCCGAGAAGGCGCUGCGGCCAGCAAAGGUCUGCGUCACUGGAGUGACCGGCUUUGUUGCAGGUGAGGUUACUUGCAAGGCGAGGGCGUGCCAGGGUCUCCAUUUAAUGCGCGCGCGCAACGUGAUGGAUGGCCAGGAAAGGCCCGAGCCUCUGGGAGCCGCCGGGAUUGCUCACCAUCGCACUGGUCCCUGUGCACAGGCUCGGUGGUCUCGCGGCUGCUGGAGCUAGGCCACACCGUGCACGGAACCUGCCGCGACCCCGCGCGCACCGACACAGUUGUGCACCUCACAUCCCUGCCCGCCGCGGCGGAGCGCCUGAAGCUGUUCAAAGCCGACCUGCUGUCGGAGGGCAGGUGCGGGAGGGGAGGGAGGGGCGCGGGCGAGAGGGCAGGUGUGGGAGAGGAGGGAGGGGCGCGGGCGAGAGGGCACGUGCGGGAGGGGAGGGAGGGGCGCGGGAGGGAGGGCAGGUGCGGGAGAGGAGGGAGGGGCGUGGGCGGGAGGGCACGCAUGCGUAGGCAAGAGUGGAGGCAGGGUUGUGAAGUGUGCUUCCAGCGGCUGGCGGGGAAGUGGGGAUCCGUAUUGGGAGGUCAGCAGGCCGCACACAAAUCGCGGACAGUAAAGCUAGUGCGAGUGGCGGCCAUACAUGAUGCUUUUGUCUAGCAUGGCUGGCCUCCUCAUCACUUUGUGCUCAUGCGUGCAGCUUUGAUGAGCCUGUCGAAGGCUGUGACUACAUUAUCCACACCGCCUCGCCCUACAUCGUCAAUGUGGCCCCCUCGGAAGUGCGAUCAAAGCUGCUCGAGCCGGCGGUGAAGGGCACCGAGCACGUGCUGAGUGAGUGGACCAUGGGGCUCCACUACGGAGGAAAGUGGUGUCUGCUCAUGUUCAGCGAAACUGCUCUCAGGAACGGGCAGACUAUAGAAGUGAGGCCUGUAUAGGGGCACGCAGAGCUGCAUGCCUGGGGUCACGGCCGCCUGCCUUCAUCGGCCACCAAACCCUUGUUCCUGUGCGCAUCACUGCUUCACCAUCACGCUAGGCGCCGCCAGCAAGUCUCCCUCCGUCAAGCGGGUGGUGCUGACGUCAUCGUGCGCCGCCAUCUACGGCAACCCGCACGUGUUCGGCAAGGAGCACGUGUACACCGAGGCUGACUGGUGGGGCUAACUAAUGCCGCUAGCUGGGGCGUUGGGCGGGGAAUAAUGCAGGCGAACGGGGGGCGUGCAGGCGGGCGGGAGGCGGUAGAAGUGACAACGCCUGCACGCGUGGCUCAGGCAGUGACAUGCGCCCACACACCCGUCCUCGUUGCAGGAACGCGACCUCCACCGACAAGGUGCUGACCUACUCAUACAGGUGCGUGGGUGCUACGUGUGCAGGGGAGCGUAUGGCGUGCAGCUGUGCAUGCGGCUAGCUUGUGACUUGCUCCAUGCUUCAUUUGCCAGUGCUAGCCCCAUCUCAAUGGUACCUUUACUCUGCUGUCCAGCACACCAUGUUUUGCCUCUCCCCCACAGCAAGAAGCUGGCUGAGGAGCGGGCGUGGGAGAUGGCCAAGGCGCAGAGCCAGUGAGUGUGUGGCGGCGGCGGGCCGCGUACAGCGCCCCAGCCAGUCCUGCCUACCCGCGGGCCUUGAACCAGCAGCAACCACUGGCUGCCAUGCGGCAGCUCAUCAUUUGCCGCCUCUCACUUCACGCACCUCACCCCACCUAUCUGUCGCCGCCUCUCACCUCACCUCACCUGUCGCCUCCGUACGUGUGCAGGUGGAAGCUGGUGGUGAUCAACCCCGCCGUCAUCCUGGGGCCGCCGCUCAGCAAGCGCACUGACAGCGAGUCGGUGGGUGACAGUGUGACAGUGUCGGACCGGGGUUGUGCUUCGUCGUCUUCGGGUGGGGCUGUGGUCGGGGAGCCUGGCAUUACCAGUAGAAGCGGCGUGCAUGCUUAAGGAAUUUGCACACACGCAUGCUGAUGCCGAUCUUCAUCGCGUGGCCACUUCCUGGCAUCAUGCAGGUGUCCAUCAUCAACCAGAUCCUGAAGGGCCAGAUGUACCCGGCCGCCCCGCACAUGGGCUUUGGCACCGUGGACGUGCGCGACGUGGCCGCGGCACACACCCUGGCCAUGAGCCACCCCAAGGCCGAGGGCAGGUGCGGGCUGAGGGCGGGGUUGGGGUGGGGGCUGCGGCCUGAGCACAAAAAAUACACGCAUGCAUGGUGGCAAGCAACGCAUAUUCUGUAUCGAUGGUGCAUGUCAGUGAAUGGCGACACAGAACAUUUCACGGCAUAUGUGGCACAUCACACGCAUCACACCACACCCGCAUCACACCACACCCGCACCCACACCGUGUGUGUUUCAUCAGGUACAUCACUGUGGCCAAGUCACUGUGGGUGGCGGACUUUGCCCGCGCCGUGAAGGUCGGCUUCCCUGACUCCCGUAUGCGCCCGCCCAUCGCCACCAUCCCCAAGUGGCUGCUGUGGCUGAUUGGGCCCAUGGCAGGCAUGAGCCGCGACAUCGUCACGUGAGUGCGGGUCGGUGUCAGGGGCCGCGAAGGGGAUAACAGAGCCUAAGAGCCGUUACGCACGGGGGCGAAAGGCGCAUUCUGCUGCAAGCGGCGGCACGGCAUGCUUCAGCACCGCACUGCGUUGGGCAGUUGGGGCCCUCGGUCCCUCAUUUAGUCUGUCACCUCCGUCCCUUCUUGAGUCCCUCACCUUGUGCUGUGCUUCGUUCCUGCCCCCACGGCCAACACACAAAUCCCUCUUGCUUCCCUCCGCAGCCAUUCCGUGAACAUGUGCCCCCAGUUCAACAACAGCAAGAUCCAGUCGGAGCUCGGAUUUAAGUUCCACUCACCUGAGGCGGCCAUCAAGGACCAGGUGAACGCCAUGCUGGCACUGGGCAUCGCAAAGCCGUUCUGAGGUGGUGGAGACACGAGCAGCACAGAGUCUGCUAAGGAGCUUCCGUGGGGUCUGUGAAGGGUUUCACUAACCACAGGGGAGGGAGCAGGCAGGAGCGGUAAUCCGGUAUGUUUGCUUUCAGGCGGAGGGGGCUUUGGAUUAGAAAUGCCGGGGAUGAUGGCUUAUAGCGUACGCUCAUGUUCGAUAUCCAGUAGACACUCAUACAUACUCGCUCAGUGGUUUGCUGUAUAAGAUGUGGGGCAAAACGAAGUGAAGAGUGUCCCAGGGUUUCGUGCCGAGGGCGUGCCACCCACAAAAAGACAGGUCACGCGAGCGUGGCGAGGGCGUUUAGACUAGAGGAGCGUGUCAAGGAGUGCCGACCUGGGAUGCUGUGGUGACGUGCAGGGAUGUACGUAUAUUUAAGCCGACCGCUCAAACUAUGGCUGGUAUGCAUAUGCGUGCCACACGCUGUUGCAUGGUGCCACUGUAACCCAUGCGACAUCGGCUGCUGCCGAACACCCGACACCGCUUCUGUUUGCGUCACAGGUGGUUUGUAUGAGGUGCAGCACUCUCUUCAGCUAUUGGCGACGGGUUCGGAUGCAGGUCAGCACAUCAAUCAGGGAUGUAAAAUUUGGCGGGCGGAGCCUUGGUGAACCAUCGGCGCGCCUGCCACUGCUGCAAUUAUGAUACACAUGGCUGUAAUGUACGUGACCAGGAGUAAGGGGGCCCGAAGACUGGAGGUUUCGGUAAACGAGUAAUUCGGUGAAAGGCUGACCGGGUUACCAGUUAACAGGAUUGAGAGCCCCGAACGGGCGCUGUGCUGCGCUGUGUGCCAUCAACUACAUAGUCACUGAACACCGUUGAUAACCCACACUCUCAUAUACUCUCUCCUUGACUUGAUUGUAAAAUGUCCCAACUUGCGUUCCAGCCGGCCUACGAUGCCGAGAAGGCGCUGCAGCCAGCAAAGGUCUGCGUCACUGGAGUGACCGGCUUUGUAGCAGGUAAGGUUAUGUUUGAGGCAAAGGAGCGCAAGGGUUUCUACUCAACGCUCGCGCAGUGUAAUGCAUCUUUAGAUGCUAUUUGAAACCGCCGUCGCUCACCAUCUCACUGGGCCCUGUGCACAGGCUCGGUGGUCUCGCGGCUGCUGGAGCUAGGCCACACCGUGCACGGCACCUGCCGCGACCCCUCGCGUACCGACACGGUCGCCCACCUCUUAUCCCUACCCGGCGCGGCGGAGCGCCUGAAGCUGUUCAAAGCCGACCUGCUGUCGGAGGGCAGGUGCGGGAGGGAGGGUCAGCGCGGGAGGGAGGACAAAUUUCGGCGGGCGGGGAAUCGAAUUGGGAGCUAAUGCACGUCGCACACAACUCGUGCCGACCCAUGGCUGGACAGAAGCAAGCCGGGGCACCCGUAUUGGCAGGCCCUAGACAGCAGUGAUUGGCUGUGAGCUGUUUGUGCUUGCUCUCUGGUAAAACUGGCCUCCUCACCCACCGCAUUUGUGCACAUGCA